UACGUAGGUGGCGAGCGUUAUCCGGAUUUACUGGGUGUAAAGGGCGUGUAGGCGGUACAAUAAGUCAGAUGUGAAAUCUCCCGGCUCAACUGGGAGGCUGCAUCUGAAACUGUUGAACUUGAGUACUGGAGGGGAAAGCGGAAUUCCUAGUGUAGCGGUGAAAUGCGUAGAGAUUAGGAAGAACACCAGUGGCGAAGGCGAUUCUCUGGACUGUAACUGACGCUGAGGCUCGAAAGCGUGGGGAGCAAACAGGAUUAGAUACCCCCGUA
This 269-nucleotide ribosomal RNA is filed under the name uncultured prokaryote. RNAcentral's name for it is "partial 16S ribosomal RNA". It matches the Rfam family "Bacterial small subunit ribosomal RNA", at positions 524 to 792 of the family's 1533-position model. The record is from RNAcentral.